RNAcentral lists this unclassified non-coding RNA (665 nucleotides) under Hevea brasiliensis (rubber tree). The record is from RNAcentral. Lineage: Eukaryota; Viridiplantae; Streptophyta; Magnoliopsida; Malpighiales; Euphorbiaceae.
UUAAGCUUCUUGACAAAGUAGCUUGCUCCGGAAGGCAUGGUGGCUUUGUAGUAAGUGGAAAACCUAGUCUUUAGCACAAUAUUCCAUGGAUCAGCAACUGCUUCCAUGGCUUUGGUUUGGAGAAGUCAAUAUUCGAUCUGUGAAUUGCAUUUGCAGUCAACAGAUUGCCUUGGAUGACCAGAGAGAGUGGAAGAUCUUCCCCUGAUUGUGACUGUUGAUCAUUAACCCUGUGAAAUCUUCUGGAGAACGAUACAGCAACAACUAAGAUCACCCCACCAACUAGAGCAGCAGCUCCAAUAGCAAGAAUAACUACCAAAACAGGUGGUUUCCUCUUCUUCAUGAAUUCUGGGGAAUUGUUUGUUUUUGUAACAUUAGUAAGACCCACAUUUCCACUUGUAUUAACAGAAACCCAUGGCUUGAAGUCCGGGAUGAUUCCAGUGAGCUGGUUGUUUGAGAGUAUCAACUGUGUUAGGGAUCCCAACUGAGUAAGAAAACUCGGAAUCUCACCUGAGAAUUUAUUGUUUGAGAGAUCCAGAAUUUCCAAAUCACCCAGUCGUGAAAGCGUGUUUGGAAUACGCCCUUGAAAGAGGUUGCUGCUGAGAUUCAAAGCAAUCUGCAACUUCACUGGCAUUGUUGGAAUCCUCCCACCCAGUUGAUUUUGUCCA